UCUAAGUAGCGAUAUUGGUACGGUUGAAUCGAAUCAAAUCACUCUAUCUUUCUCUUGGGUCAGUUGAUUUGAUUGAGCCGUGCCAAUAUCACUAUUACGACA
Brassica napus (rape) is the source of this 102-nucleotide non-coding RNA. The record is from Rfam. NCBI's taxonomy places the organism in Eukaryota, Viridiplantae, Streptophyta, Magnoliopsida, Brassicales, Brassicaceae.